AUUGAACGCUGGCGGCAGGCUUAACACAUGCAAGUCGAGCGGAGACUUCGGUCUUAGCGGCGAACGGGUGAGGAAUGCCUGGGAAUCUGCCUGGUAGUGGGGGAUAACGUUCCGAAAGGAACGCUAAUACCGCAUACGUCCUACGGGAGAAAGCAGGGGACCUUCGGGCCCUUGCGCUAUCCAGAUGAGCCCAGGUCGGAUUAGCUAGUAGGUGAGGUAAAGGCUCACCUAGGCGACGAUCCGUAGCUGGUCUGAGAGGAUGAUCAGCCACACUGGAACCUGAGACACGGUCCAGACUCCUACGGGAGGCAGCAGUGGGGAAUAUU
This 326-nucleotide ribosomal RNA is filed under the name uncultured bacterium. RNAcentral describes it as "bacterial SSU rRNA". It matches the Rfam family "Bacterial small subunit ribosomal RNA", at positions 30 to 365 of the family's 1533-position model. The record is from RNAcentral.